UGAGGAAUAUUGGUCAAUGGGCGAGAGCCUGAACCAGCCAAGUAGCGUGCAGGAUGACGGCCCUAUGGGUUGUAAACUGCUUUUAUGUGGGGAUAAAGUGCGUGACGUGUCAUGCAUUGCAGGUACCACAUGAAUAAGGACCGGCUAAUUCCGUGCCAGCAGCCGCGGUAAUACGGAAGGUCCGGGCGUUAUCCGGAUUUAUUGGGUUUAAAGGGAGCGUAGGCUGUCUAUUAAGCGUGUUGUGAAAUUUACCGGCUCAACCGGUGGCUUGCAGCGCGAACUGGUCGACUUGAGUAUGCAGGAAGUAGGCGGAAUUCAUGGUGUAGCGGUGAAAUGCUUAGAUAUCAUGACGAACACCGAUUGCGCAGGCAGCUUACGGGAGCGCAACUGACGCUAAAGCUCGAAGGUGCGGGUAUCGAACAGG
This 424-nucleotide ribosomal RNA is filed under the name Verrucomicrobiota bacterium. Its description in RNAcentral is "Verrucomicrobia bacterium partial 16S ribosomal RNA". It matches the Rfam family "Bacterial small subunit ribosomal RNA", at positions 355 to 776 of the family's 1533-position model. The record is from RNAcentral. Lineage: Bacteria; Pseudomonadati; Verrucomicrobiota.